AUGCUUUCACCCUUCGAGAUGACAAGUGGUGAAGCUUUUCUCGUUGUGGCCAUGCUGUUACGCAUCGUACUGUCAGCAGAAGCUUCGGAUGUCCAACGAUGCACAGGGGAGAGACAGCGUGAUGGCCAGUUCUACUUCAACAUGACGUAUGACCUUAAAGAGGGUGUUCAUGACUGUGAGACCCAAUGGGUCAUCAAUGGAAUUGUGGCAGGAAUUUCUCAUGCUGAUGGAAAAACGGAGUGCAUGCUCCCACUUGUAAAUGCAACAGCAAACACAGCCAUCUUACAGACCUGCCAUGAAAAACUGGAAUUCCUGCUCAUCUGCCCCUCUGCCGGCAUCAACAAAAAGGAACCGUGCUCUUGUGAUAUCACUUCUCCAACUACACUUCCUGAAGUGGGUUUGCCUGACUGGAGUGUUGGUGUUUGGAUUGGAGUGAGUGUGUUUGGGAUUCUGUUGGCGUCUUUGAUUGUCACCAUGCUUUAUAGGAAAAAAAAAAGGUCAGAAUAUGUUCUUAGUGGCCCAGGUCCUGCUGAAGAUGUCUGAUUCUG
Molecule: long non-coding RNA, 548 nt
Organism: Cyprinus carpio (common carp)
Lineage: Eukaryota; Metazoa; Chordata; Actinopteri; Cypriniformes; Cyprinidae
Source: Ensembl